CUUGUCUCAAAGACUAAGCCAUGCAGUCUAAGUAUAAGCAAUUAUACCGCGAAACUGCGAAUGGCUCAUUAAAUCAGUUAUCGUUUAUUUGAUAGUUCCAUACUACUUGGAUAACCGUGGUAAUUCUAGAGCUAAUACAUGCGAAAAACCGCAACUUCGGAAGCGGUGUGUUUAUUAGAUUAAAGACCAAUGCCCUUCGGGGCUCACUGGUGAUUCAUGAUAACCUCUCGAAUCGCACGGACUUGCGCCGGCGAUGGUUCAUUCAAAUUUCUGCCCUAUCAACUUUCGACUUUAGUGUAGUGGACUAAAGUGGUUGCAACGGGUAACGGAGGGUUAGGGCUCGACCCCGGAGAAGGAGCCUGAGAAACGGCUACUACAUCCAAGGAAGGCAGCAGGCGCGCAAAUUACCCAAUCCCGACACGGGGAGGUAGUGACAAUAAAUACUGAUACAGGCUCUUUUGGGUCUUGUAAUUGGAAUGAGUACAACUUAAAUCCCUUAACGAGGAACAAUUGGGAGGGCAAGUCUGGUGCCAGCAGCCGCGGUAAUUCCAGCUCCAAUAGCGUAUAUUAAAGUUGUUGUGGUUAAAAAGCUCGUAGUUGAACCUGGGCCUCGCGCCGGCCGGUCCGCCUCACCGCGUGCACUGGCCCGGCCGGGGCUUUCACUUGGGGAUACGCAUGUCCUUCGGUGGGCGUGCGCGGAACCAGGACUUUUACUGUGAAAAAAUUAGAGUGUUCAAAGCAGGCCUAUGCUCGGAUACAUUAGCAUGGAAUAAUAGAAUAGGACGUGUGGUUCUAUUUUGUUGGUUAUGGGACCGCCGUAAUGAUUAAUAGGGACAGUCGGGGGCAUCAGUAUUCAAUUGUCAGAGGUGAAAUUCUUAGAUUUAUUGAAGACUAACUACUGCGAAAGCAUUUGCCAAGGAUGUUUUCAUUAAUCAGGAACGAAAGUUAGGGGAUCGAAGACGAUCAGAUACCGUCGUAGUCUUAACCAUAAACUAUGCCGACUAGGGAUCGGACGAUGUUACUAUUU
RNAcentral lists this ribosomal RNA (1027 nucleotides) under Hydea pygmea. Its description in RNAcentral is "SSU rRNA". It matches the Rfam family "Eukaryotic small subunit ribosomal RNA", at positions 31 to 1071 of the family's 1831-position model. Lineage: Eukaryota; Fungi; Ascomycota; Sordariomycetes; Lulworthiales; Lulworthiaceae. The record is from RNAcentral.